Molecule: non-coding RNA, 46 nt
Filed under: Plasmodium falciparum 3D7
Lineage: Eukaryota; Apicomplexa; Aconoidasida; Haemosporida; Plasmodiidae
Source: RNAcentral
AUAAUCCCCUAACGUAUAGAACAUUUGACGCAAAAAGGGUGUGGGG